This 418-nucleotide ribosomal RNA is filed under the name bacterium enrichment culture clone ALO1_GLFRUDD03F186I. Its description in RNAcentral is "bacterial SSU rRNA". It matches the Rfam family "Bacterial small subunit ribosomal RNA", at positions 9 to 428 of the family's 1533-position model. The record is from RNAcentral.
GAGUUUGAUCGUGGCUCAGAUUGAACGCUGGCGGCAUGCCUUACACAUGCAAGUCGAACGGCAGCACGGGAGCUUGCUCCUGGUGGCGAGUGGCGAACGGGUGAGUAAUGCAUCGGAACGUAUCCUGGAGUGGGGGAUAACGUAGCGAAAGUUACGCUAAUACCGCAUAUUCUGUGAGCAGGAAAGCGGGGGACCUUCGGGCCUCGCGCUCUUGGAGCGGCCGAUGUCGGAUUAGCUAGUUGGUGAGGUAAAGGCUCACCAAGGCGACGAUCCGUAGCAGGUCUGAGAGGAUGAUCUGCCACACUGGAACUGAGACACGGUCCAGACUCCUACGGGAGGCAGCAGUGGGGAAUUUUGGACAAUGGGGGCGAACCCUGAUCCAGCCAUGCCGCGUGAGUGAAGAAGGCCUCGGUUGUAA